RNA transcript from Dreissena polymorpha, 4376 nucleotides. RefSeq lists it as uncharacterized. The record is from RefSeq and is a predicted model, not a curated record. Lineage: Eukaryota; Metazoa; Mollusca; Bivalvia; Myida; Dreissenidae. The transcript is spliced from 8 exons.
GUACAUGAUGAGCUCUGGCUAUGAUCUCUUUGAUAAGCCACAGACCUUGGUUGUCACUGAUGUCUGACUUCGUCAUUUUGACUGUCUUCUGACCCCCCCCCCCCCCCCUGGUUGGAUUGGACAAAAUCCAAGGGAAGUAAUAAGCUUUAAAGGGAGAUGAUUUCUAUACCUGCCAAAUGAUAAAUAUAAAUUUUAUUUCAAAGCGGCGCUGUUUGACAUUAAAUUGAAUAUUACGAAAAAAUACAAAGAUGGAUAACUCAUUCCAUUCUUUUUGGGACAAACAGACCUGCAGCAAGGAACAGGGGAAAAUCAUGGGAAUGUUUGAAGAGUUUAAGUCAGAAGCGUAAGCUUUCCACCGGGGAUACUCCUGGAUGGUCUUAACUUAAGGGACAGUCCAGGUUUGUCCUCUCAGGUGUCCAAACUGUCCAAAGAGAAUGCAUUUAUUUUUGACGCAGAUGCUAACAAAGAAAGGCAGUACCAACUUCGUUGUGAAGAGUCAAGCAUGGUACAUCCCUGGGGCAUGCCUCAGGUGGGAAUUCCAUCUGCAACAAGAUGCUAAAGGUGAACCCAUCAGAGUGUGUUACUAACCACUUCAAGACCAAACAGCCUCACAUUGAUUCGAAGAUAAAGAAGGCGUUGAAAAAUGACAGCAGUUUUGAUGUGUCAUCCAGUUUGCUCUUCGACUCUCAACCCAACGUUAGUUAGAACGCAAACUCAGCAUUUAGCGUUAUCAGCGAGGCCCGAAGGUCAUCUCUGCUUCUUAAGCUUCAGAUAAAAUUAUAAGCCAACAAGACGAACAUCGUUGAAUCAUUUCGCACAUAUACUAAAACUCGCUUAAGAAAUUCAGCACGUCACUUAUGAACAUCUUCUCGCAAGGCGGCUACAUCAGCACUUCCAAUAGCUGAGCCUUGGUGAGUUCCACUCCUGUCCCGAUGAGUCGCUCGAGGUGAAACAAUCUGAUCCACAGAUAGAGCAGACGCUGAGUGACUCGUCUGUUAACGUGACUGACCUUCAUAUGUUGCUCUCUAAUAUUGUGCCUGAGGAGCAGUGUUGGCCUACAUUCCCUGUUCAGGGCGGUGACUUUGGCGUCAAGACUCACACAAUCUCUGUCUAUGGCCCUAUCGCAGCAGCAGCAGCAAAAAAAACAGGAAGUAUUUCAGCUGCACUCUGGGAAAACAGGGCUUAAUGCAUGUGUUUAAAGUGUUGUCCCAGAUAAAGGUGUUAAGUCUGCCGGCUGUUAUCAGUGACCGCACUUUCCGAAUAAGCCUUUAAAUGAAAAAUUCCAUAAAAGCGGAAAGUGUCAUGGCUGAUGAUUUUCAAGACUCACACAACCUCUGUCUAUGGCCCUGUCGCAGCAGCAACAAAAACAGGAAGUAUUUCAGCUGCACUCUGGGAAAACAGGGCUUAAUGCAUGUGCCUAAAGUGUUUUACCCACGAAAGCGUGUUAAGUCUGCCCAAGCUAAUUUGUGACCACACUUUCCGAAUGUAUCUUAAAACAAAGAAUUCCAUAAAAGCUGAAAGUGUCGUGGCUGAUUAGCUUGUGCAGACUGUACAUGCAAAUCUGGAACAACUCUUUACACUUAUGCAUUUAGCCCAGUUUUUAAAGAGUUUAGAGUUGCACAUUUAGUUCACAUUACAUCAGCUUUACUGACCUUUUUGGAGAAAAGUUCUUAUUACCAAUCAGGAAUUUUGCGGUUUUUGACUGUUCAAACUGAGUUAAUAAAAUGCAUAUUAGAGUUGAUUUGAUAUCAGUUUUAACCAUGGGGGUAAGGGCAUAUUUUCAUACCUUUUUGUUUGUUUUCACUUGUAUAUAAACCCCUUACAUAAAUUAUACAAAAUACUGAUGUUUUAUUUAAAUAAAACAAUUAUUGAAAUGCAGUCAACAUUUUAAAAAAAUUAUCUGCAUUUCAUUUAUUAUUAGGUAACAAAAUUUAAUAUAUUUUUACAUAAAUUGAAAUUAAUCACCUGUCCAGGUUUUCAGUUUACAAAUAUGCCCCUGGAGUGAGAAUAUGAAGUGAAGAUAUUAAUUAAUUAUUGCCCCCGGCUAAUUGGGGUAUAUAGGAAUCACCUUGGACAGACGUCUGUCUCUCUUUUCAUAUGUCUGUGGGCGUUCACUUACAAUUCAACGUUAAGCAUUCAAACUUUCAGGUAUUGUUUAAUCUCAUACGUGGUUGUGCAUGUACAUUUUGUAUCAUAAUACUCUAAAAAUUACAAAACUUAGACAUUAUAUAACCUCAUGCUUCAUAGACUUGUGGCAUUGGGGGAUAUUCUAUGUAACAAUGGUUACAAAUUAUUGUUUGACUAGAUGUUGUUUUCUUCUAAGUAUUUUAAAAAAAAGAGCCAUAUUUUGCUUUCGGAUUGAGUCAGCCUCAUAACUUGUUAAUUUAAUAAUUUAAUGGUCAUGAAAUAAUUUCUAUGGCCAUUCUCUCUCUGAUUCUAGUACGGCAAUUGUCUGUUACUGGCAUAAGUAUAUGUACUCAGUAAGGCCAGGAAAAGGUUAACUUAAUGACCACACUACUACGACUAAAAUGCAUUUUUGUGUGUGUAGGAUCAAUUAAAAAAAAAGAUAAAAUUCCAGUACUUUUUAGCUGUUUCCUACAGGACCCCGUACAAUUACAGAUUGGUGCACAGCUGAACAACAGGCUCUCUCUCCUAAGCCAGGCCUGAACGCAUGGGGUCACUUCCUGUGAAUGGGUGGGGUCAUACCGUUGCCAGUUCAAGCUUAGAGGACCAUGUUCCCCAAAUCCAAUGUGGCCCUAUAUCUCAACAGGAAUACCUCGCAGAGCUAAUGAACAGAGCCAGUGCGUAGAACAUGAUUUUUAAGAGGAAUAGGAACCUAGGCCCAAUAUCAACCUGGUUCCAAUCUCGCGAAGAUGUCCACCGGCCGCCCCCUAGCACAAGCCUCGUUAGCCCCAAGGUGUUGUCAUGAUGCCCCUGGACAACAGCUCUUGUUGGGCUCUUCCCAAUAGCAGUAGAUCAACAUGGCAUAUCAGCAUGAUGCCCCAAACCAGCGCUUCAUAUUUAGCUACCAGCAGUAUCCAUGCAACCAAACCUUGAUCACUCAGCAACAGAUAAAUCAGCAGCAGGGAUGGAGUUAGCCGUUUCAACGUCUGCUCAGUUUCCUCUCAGAGCCAGUCGGCUUGCUGUGUUGCUUAGCCAAUCCACUACUUAUGUCGCAGCACAAUAUCUCAUCUGGAUCCAUUCCACUGCUGGCGCAACAGCAGGUCUGUUCUCUGUACAGAGCCGUUUCUAUGACGAUGAAGUCCUACAACUCGCCCAGUACUUGCUUUUGCGUCAGGGUCAGGUUCAAGGCCUCAUGGGCUUUGGUGGUCUGGGCAAGAUGGGAAUGUUAGACAGCAACAACAACAGUUAAGAAAAUAGCAACAGCAUAAUAGACAGACACAGCAGCAAUGGCCACAGCACCAACAAUAGCAGUAACAGAUGAUGGCUUAGCUUCAUCAGCAACAGCAGAAGCAACAAGAUCUUACGUCCAUGGACCAUUUAGAUGUCACUUUAGAAAUUCAGAAGAUCUUUAUGAAAGAAACGCCAAUUGAAAAAUAUCCAAACCGUCCAAUCAGAAAGACAGUCUGUUGCAGCAGUUAUUCAAACCUAGGAUGCUUAGUGAUAAACAUAAAUAAACACAUGCUAGUCCCUAAGUGCCUGCAUUGGCUGUUUUAAAGCCUUGCUGUCCAUUCUGAACACUUAAAUGGAAGCUCUCACCUUAGAAUUUUGGGAUAGGUCGAAACCCAGUGGCAUGGUGCAGACUAACAUCGCAGAAUGACAAAGAAGUACAAGCCUGUGACCAGCAAUAAACUAAUGUGGCCAGCUAUGUUGUGUCAUGUGACCAGCCAAGCUGUGUGUAAAGAGAAAACUAUAGUUCAUGUCUUGUGGGAUUUAUGACGCUUUAAGUGAUUUGCUAUUAUAUGUUUUUGUGAUAUAUAUAGUUAAUUAUAAUCAAGUGAAGAUUACUUGUUUAAAGUGAUUAUGUAAAGUAUUAUUUUAAGUUCAAAAGAGUGCAAGCCUGUGUUGCUACUUUGUCUGUAUUCGAAAGUUUGAUCCAGAUGUUGGUAAAACAUAGAACAUAAACAUAUUUUUUAUUACAUUGAUUUAAAACUUAAGCAAAGUUGUUUAACUAAUAUUGUUAACUUGAAUAAAUUUUCAAACAUUUAUCGGCUUUUUUCAUGAAAUAAGACAAACUACAGUAUUGUUUUUUCCAGUAAUAUAGUAAGACGUGCCAGUUAAAAGAAAUGGUUAAGAAAGAUUCAUGGACGCUUCUAUUUUGAUUUGCCUGUCUUUGUGUCUGUAUACAAUACAAUCAGUUUGCGCAUUAUAGUCACUUUUUAAACAAGAAUCUUGAGUACAUGUAGUGUCAGAAA